Molecule: long non-coding RNA, 447 nt
Organism: Nicotiana attenuata
Lineage: Eukaryota; Viridiplantae; Streptophyta; Magnoliopsida; Solanales; Solanaceae
Exons: 3
Source: RefSeq, a predicted model, not a curated record
AUCUUCUGCUCAUGAUAUCAUAUGUUAGUUCUUGGAACAAGCAUCACACCUAGCUUUAAGGGUACAGAAACGUGAGAUUGAGAGAAAGCCUUAGGUUUUUAAUUCAAAAUAUUUUCUAUCCUUUGGUGAGUUUCUAAAGGCUAAACACGUGAGUUCUUCAAUGUGAAUUGAUGUAUGCCUUACAAAUUUAAUGGAAUUUCUUGUGUAAGUAGAGUGGACUGAUCGUGAGUAAGUAAGAAAGCAAAACGAUUCCAUACCAAAUUCUAAGAGAAUCGGCUCAGGAGAUGAUUUGCUAAAAUUUGCUAAGUUAUGGAGAAUGAGUUACCAAACGUACAACACCUUAGUUGAGGAUAAUUCUCUUGAAAUAUGAUCCAAGGUUGAAUGUUCAUCUACGACCUUCUCGAGUUCUUAUGAGCAAUUAAGGUAUAGAUAAUCAGUUUGACGAGC